RNAcentral lists this ribosomal RNA (468 nucleotides) under uncultured bacterium. Its description in RNAcentral is "partial 16S ribosomal RNA". It matches the Rfam family "Bacterial small subunit ribosomal RNA", at positions 28 to 507 of the family's 1533-position model. The record is from RNAcentral.
GACGAACGCUGGCGGCGUGCUUAACACAUGCAAGUCGAACGGAAAGGCCCUGCUUUUGUGGGGUGCUCGAGUGGCGAACGGGUGAGUAACACGUGAGUAACCUGCCCUUGACUUUGGGAUAACUUCAGGAAACUGGGGCUAAUACCGGAUAGGAGCUCCUGCUGCAUGGUGGGGGUUGGAAAGUUUCGGCGGUUGGGGAUGGACCCGCGGCUUAUCAGCUUGUUGGUGGGGUAGUGGCUUACCAAGGCUUUGACGGGUAGCCGGCCUGAGAGGGUGACCGGCGACGUUGGGACUGGAAUACGGCCCAGACUGCUACAGGAGCCAGCGGCGGAAGAUAUUGCGCCAUGGACGGAAGCCUGGAGCAGCAGCGCCGCGUGCGGGAUGACGGCCUUCGGGGUGUGAACCGACUGCGCCUGUGACGAAGCGUGAGUGACGGUAAUGGGUAGAGAAGCACCGGCUAACUACGUG